Molecule: long non-coding RNA, 906 nt
Filed under: Homo sapiens (human)
Lineage: Eukaryota; Metazoa; Chordata; Mammalia; Primates; Hominidae
Description: PPP1R3B divergent transcript
Source: RNAcentral
AUCCCCUGCCUGCAGCACGUGCUGAUCUCCAAGGGUGAGGCUGGAUGAAGCCAGGGGCUAUGGAAAGGGAGACUGUUUCAGAGGACUUGACACCAUCUUCAGUAAUUUCUCUGGUUCUUGGCAGCUCCAUUUGGCUGCGUCCCUACCCUGCAUAACCCUCCCAGCUAGUCUACUCCAGGGCAGCAUCCAGCUGGUGACCUGAGAGGGCAGUGGCGCACCAGUCUCCAUGAAGGUUGAGCUCCGAUGGCCAACAGCCAUUUCCACCUUGUGGUCUACAACUCUUCAUCCCGACUGCAUGGAGGUUGGUCUCUCUCUUCAGCUGGAUUUAGGCCACCAUCUGAGCCCCCGGGGUACGUUUUGUCUGACCCUGGCGCCAUUCGAACGGUUCUUCUACAGCAUCAGGUGACACCCCUGCUCCCCAUUCACCCUCCGCUAUCAGUAAAAGCUUCCUCAGACCUCACCAGAAGCUGGACAGAUAGAUGCUGGUGCCAAGCUUGUACAGACUGCAGAACCAUGGGCCAAAUAAACCUCUUUUCUUUAUAAAUUGCUCAGCCUCAGGGGUCCCUUUAUAGCAAUGCGAGAAUAGACUAACACAGCAACCCAGAAGUUUGUGGAGUGAAAUCUAAAGCAGUGCUUUUAAAAGUGAGAUCCUAGGACCAGCACCACCUGUACCACAUGCAUCACCUGGGAACCUGUUAGAAAAGCAAAGCCUCAGGCUCCAUCCCAGACCACCUCAGGCAGAAGCUCUGGGGGUGGGGUCCAGGAAUCUGAGAUUUAACAAGCUCUCCAGGUGAUGCUGAUGCAUGUUCAGUUUGAAAACAAUGGACCCAGAGAGCCUCUAAAGUGCAACCUGCCCUGACAAUUUUAGUCCAAAAUCUUGCAUGGGUAAUUUAAUCUCUACAUCCU